GAUGAACGCUGGCGGCGUGCCUAAUACAUGCCAGUCGAGCGAACAGACGAGGAGCUUGCUCCUCUGACGUUAGCGGCGGACGGGUGAGUAACACGUGGAUAACCUACCUAUAAGACUGGGAUAACUUCGGGAAACCGGAGCUAAUACCGGAUAAUAUAUUGAACCGCAUGGUUCAAUAGUGAAAGACGGUUUUGCUGUCACUUAUAGAUGGAUCCGCGCCGCAUUAGCUAGUUGGUAAGGUAACGGCUUACCAAGGCAACGAUGCGUAGCCGACCUGAGAGGGUGAUCGGCCACACUGGAACUGAGACACGGUCCAGACUCCUACGGAGGCAGCAGUAGGGAAUCUUCCGCAAUGGGCGAAAGCCUGACGGAGCAUCGCCGCGUGAGUGAUGAAGGUCUUCGGAUCGUAAAACUCUGUUAUUAGGGAAGAACAAAUGUGUAAGUAACUAUGCACGUCUUGACGGUACCUAAUCAGAAAGCCACGGCUAACUACGUG
RNAcentral lists this ribosomal RNA (496 nucleotides) under uncultured bacterium. RNAcentral describes it as "partial 16S ribosomal RNA". It matches the Rfam family "Bacterial small subunit ribosomal RNA", at positions 28 to 507 of the family's 1533-position model. The record is from RNAcentral.